ACGGGAGGCAGCAGUGGGGAAUAUUGCACAAUGGGGGAAACCCUGAUGCAGCGACGCCGCGUGAGUGAAGAAGUAUUUCGGUAUGUAAAGCUCUAUCAGCAGGGAAGAAAAAAGACGGUACCUGACUAAGAAGCCCCGGCUAACUACGUGCCAGCAGCCGCGGUAAUACGUAGGGGGCAAGCGUUAUCCGGAAUUACUGGGUGUAAAGGGUGCGUAGGUGGCAUGGUAAGUCAGAAGUGAAAGCCCGGGGCUUAACCCCGGGACUGCUUUUGAAACUGUCAUGCUGGAGUGCAGGAGAGGUAAGCGGAAUUCCUAGUGUAGCGGUGAAAUGCGUAGAUAUUAGGAGGAACACCAGUGGCGAAGGCGGCUUACUGGACUGUCACUGACACUGAUGCACGAAAGCGUGGGGAGCAAACAGGAUUAGAUACCCUGGUAGUCCACGCCGUAAAC
Molecule: ribosomal RNA, 450 nt
Filed under: uncultured bacterium
Lineage: Bacteria
Description: bacterial SSU rRNA
Rfam family: Bacterial small subunit ribosomal RNA
Source: RNAcentral